ACAACAUCUUAAUUGACAAUGCCUCAUAGUUCUGUAUACCUAUAUAUAAGGGCGAUCUUGUCAAUUCCUAGUAUACAGUCAGGAAUUAUCCAACAAUCAGGAUUCAGACACCAUGAAAUCGUUACAAGUUUUGGUUUGUCUGGUCGUGGUAUUCCUCUUUGUCUCAACGAUACAAUCAUUUGUCCUCCCACACUACGCCAGAAACGACCCUUACCUUAAGCGACUCCUAACUCCUAAAAAGGGGUCAAAAAGUCCCAACCAGUUUCAGCUGUACAUGGCAAGAGAGUACCUAGACGAACUGGAGCCUUACGACAACGACCCUCAUGACAUGAUAGAAAGUCGACUGGAACCAGACUUUUUCUAAAACUACACCAUGUAAGAACGCCUUAAUUACUUGAUUAAUGAUCAAACGAAAGAAUCCAACACACAUCAUUACGUCACUAUUGUGUCCUACAUGUUUGUUAAAAUGUUAAAAUAAAAUGUAUGAAAAGUCA
Ostrea edulis (European flat oyster) is the source of this 494-nucleotide long non-coding RNA. RefSeq lists it as uncharacterized. The record is from RefSeq and is a predicted model, not a curated record. Lineage: Eukaryota; Metazoa; Mollusca; Bivalvia; Ostreida; Ostreidae. The transcript is spliced from 3 exons.